CAGUCGCCGCGGUAACACGUAGGGUGCAAGCGUUAAUCGGAAUUACUGGGCGUAAAGCGUGCGCAGGCGGUUAUAUAAGACAGAUGUGAAAUCCCCGGGCUCAACCUGGGAACUGCAUUUGUGACUGUAUAGCUAGAGUACGGCAGAGGGGGAUGGAAUUCCGCGUGUAGCAGUGAAAUGCGUAGAUAUGCGGAGGAACACCGAUGGCGAAGGCAAUCCCCUGGGCCUGUACUGACGCUCAUGCACGAAAGCGUGGGGAGCAAACAGGAUUAGAUACCCCGGUAGUCCCUGUCUCUUAUAC
Molecule: ribosomal RNA, 301 nt
Filed under: uncultured bacterium
Lineage: Bacteria
Description: partial 16S ribosomal RNA
Rfam family: Bacterial small subunit ribosomal RNA
Source: RNAcentral